GAGUACAAGAGUACGUGAAACUGCUUAGAGGUUAAGCCCGAUGAACCUGAAUAUCCGUUAUGGAAAAUUCAUCACUAAUACUAUGAUAUUUAUAAUAUUAUAGAAAUGGUGUGCAAUUUUUCCAUAUAAGGACAUUGUAAUCUGUUAAUGUAUUAAAUAUUUAUUAAAAGAUCUUAUACUUAAGUUUAUUCAAAUUAGUUAUUUUCGGAUUUCUAACAUAGAAUAAAUGUAUUUGAUUUAAUAAAUCAUUGACAGAUUUUAUUAUAAUAUAGUGCUCAAAUUUUGAACGAAAUUUUACAAUAAUAUGAUAAUUCAAUUUGUUAUAUUUAUUGUAUGCGCUUAUAUGAUUAACAAUGCGAUAGAUUCAGGAUACCUUCGGGACCCGUCUUGAAACACGGACCAAGGAGUCUAACAUAUGUGCAAGUCAUUGGGUAUUUUUAAUAAAACCCAAUGGCAUAAUUAACUUAACUGUUUUUUAAAUGGGAUUAGUUUAUAUUUUAUUAUGAAAUAUUAAUUCAAUCCCGGGGCGUUCUAUAUAGUUAUGCAUAAUGAUAUUUAUAUUAUUUAUGUCUCUAACU
RNAcentral lists this ribosomal RNA (578 nucleotides) under Cheilosia montana. RNAcentral's name for it is "eukaryotic LSU rRNA". The record is from RNAcentral. Lineage: Eukaryota; Metazoa; Arthropoda; Insecta; Diptera; Syrphidae.